Molecule: non-coding RNA, 147 nt
Organism: Caenorhabditis elegans
Lineage: Eukaryota; Metazoa; Nematoda; Chromadorea; Rhabditida; Rhabditidae
Source: Ensembl
CUUCAAACUUUCGUCGCGCCCAUAAGUGGACUCUAUUGAAGCAUCACGACGUCGUCUAGAUUGAAUUACACGAUGGUGGGGCCCCGUCUUCUUCCGGCGCUCCUUCAACAACAGAGCUCUUCCUAUAUUUUCCAAGAACUUUAAUCA